Long non-coding RNA from Syngnathoides biaculeatus (alligator pipefish), 1981 nucleotides. RefSeq lists it as uncharacterized. The transcript has 3 exons. Lineage: Eukaryota; Metazoa; Chordata; Actinopteri; Syngnathiformes; Syngnathidae. The record is from RefSeq and is a predicted model, not a curated record.
UUUUGCCUGCAGGUUGCCAGCCAGCGCGAUCAUUUCUCAGCUCUCAAACUGUGCCUGAACGGAAAGUUACAAGGGGCCCCGGUUGAUUCAUUUUCCAAAGCCUAAAAGACAUUUGACCAAGUGUCUACGAUGGAUUAAGGCUCAGGGAAGAGCGCAUGUACAACUAAAUGGAAAAAUUAUCAACAAACACACGGCUGUAUGUUCAAAGGAGAACAACUUUCACUUUGAGGGGGUACCACUGACCUGCUGAAUGAAGUGUGUAAUGUUUUAUCCCAAAGAGUUGGGCUAGUGAUACGUAAAUGCACGAUGUCAUGCAAGAGAAAUGUCUAUUUGCCUAUUUGGAUCACAUCAGACUUUUACGACAGAGCACUGGUUUCCAUUACGAGCCAAGUCAAAUGAAUACACCCACUCACUUAUAAAGACUACAAUGAUAUUACUCGUGAUCUUUCCAUGUAAAAAGUACUCACCCUGCUUUACGUGCGGGGUACGAUUCCACUAUUUUAUCCUGUUGGAUUUUAAUAUGAAGUCUGUGAGGCGUCAAACUUUUUUGCAUCGAUUGCCAACGUUUCGCUGUAACUCUGACAUUGCGUCCUGGUCCGUCCAAAAUCUUAAUUCCAUGUAUAUAUCCUUGCGUGAAAUAUUUGAGACCUCUCUGUAGAACUCUCUUGGACGAGUCUGACGCAUUUGGCAAAAAACAUACCCCAAUAUUAUCUGGAAUAUGCGAUAGAUAAUCGACUUCAAACGUGUUCUGUUCAAUCGCCAUUUUGGAAGCUUGUGGGACAUGGCUAAAGGGGCAGAGCUUAAGAUCGCCAUCGGAAAAGUCCAUUGUAGCUGACCUCUCGCUUCACUAGAUGUACAUAGUUUUGCAUCACUAGUAAGAUAUCCUUUUCAAUUACAACUGUGUACUAUUAGUAUUACUCGUGAAUAAAUUAUACUGGUUGAGAUCCAACGCUUCAACAGUGGCACGAGUGCUGCACCAAUGUCAACUAGUUCAGUUUUGCCUUAGUAAUAAUGUAAUUGUCCUAGUAGUUGAUAACUAAGUGCGACUAGUCCUCAUGACGUUACAGUCUGACUAGUUAACAUCUAGCAGAUGUCAACUAUUAUAGCUUUGCCUCAUUAGUAACAUGAAGUUGUACAGUGUGUAAAAAUGUCACAUAUUAAAGACUAUUACUAGUAAUACAUGUAAUGUAGUCAUUACACUGUAUUAAGAUAUGUAACAAUGUGAUACAAACGUUUUUAAAAAAAGCAUGUGGAGUAAAAACAAGUCUGAAUUGUAAUACUGGUGAAAAUGUUUCCAUUCCCUAUGGGGUGGGAGCAGCAGCCAUUCUUUUAAAGUCUUUACAGGCCAAUAUGGACACCACAUGCAGAACCACCCCCCCCAACCCCCCCCCCAACCAAUCGGCAAACUACAUGAUGAUAAUGAACACCAGAGGUGACAAAAAGUACUAACACUCUGUACCAAAGUAGAUGUACAGAUACUUGCGCAAAAAGAGAUGAAGUUGCAUACUCCUAUUGUCAUUUCUUUUUUCUCGUUUUGUUAUUUUAAGCCCAGUUUUUGCAGUGGAGGAACAUUGUAUGAUAUUGUACUAUACGCCAACAUAUAGUAAUAACCUAAUGAAAUAAUGGAAAGAGUUUGUGCAUCAUCACGAUGUGCGUGGAGCGAGAAGAUCGAUGUGCACCUCGUGUCACCAUUUGUUAUGUGACUCGAGAAAAGCGAAAACCUUGACUGGUUUGCGGCGAAGCGACCGCAACAUCUGUGCUGGCCUUUUACGAGAAAACUCAGCCAUCCACACGCUAACACAACACACACACACAUGCUCAGCACUUGUUGCACACCUGUAAGACAUUAAUUGUGGUUCUACACUGAAGGUUUUUAUUUUUUCAAACUGAAAGAAUUUCAUAAAUAAGUACAUGAAGCAGCCGUGCACACAAGUGGUCCUCUUAAAGGCACAGUUGGUGCAUUUAAAUGCAUAGAGAGAAU